CAUUUAUUUCUACUUCUGCAUGUGUUUCCUUAAGUCUUCCAAAACUUUGAUACAUUUGAUCAUUUAAUUUAACUUUCUUUGCAUUUUUAAUUUUCUCACUUUUUGGUUUGGUUUUGGUGACCUUUUUUUGAGGCCCCCACUCUCUCUUUUUAAAGAACCUUAUAAUAAUCUCUCUCUCUCUCUCUCUCUCAAAACAAUUCCCAUUCUCCACUCUCCACUCUCUCUCUCUCAACAAAAAAAAUGUCAUCUUUGAAGAAAAGAAAUUUCCACCUCUGGUUCUCAAAGCUCCGCUGCUUUCCGGCCACCGUCAAACCCUCAUCGCCGCCGCAAACGCCCAACAAGAAACCAUUUUCCAUUACCCACUUGGAAAACUCCGACUAUUCUUCUACCUCCACCGCUGCUGACGACGGUUUCUUCUCCGACGACUCCUCUUCUGAUUCCGACGCCAUCGUCCCUGACUUCUCCGCUGCCGUCGCUUCCCACCGGUUCUUCUUCUCCUCUCCUGGCUGCUCCAACUCUAUUUUUGACUCCUCUCCCGACACGCACCACAGCACCGCCGUUUCCGCCGCCGUACACGGCGGCGUCGAAGUUAGGAAGGUUUCAAUGGACCCAUUUGUGGAUUUUAGAGCGUCAAUGCAGGAGAUGGUCGAAGCGAGAGAUCGGCCAGUGGACGUCCGGCGAGAUUGGGAGUAUCUGCAGGAGCUUCUUCUUUGUUAUCUUCAAAUCAACCCCGUUGAUACUCAUAAGUUUAUAUUAAGAGCUUUCUCCGACCUCGUUGUUUAUUUGCUGGAAUCCUCGCCGGAGUCAUUCUCCGACCGCCGUAUUCGGCCGCACAAUAUCAACUCAAACAGCUGGUAAUUGGUGCAAUGACAACAAUAUAUCAUAUCAAUAUUUCAACGAUAUAUCUUUCCUACCCUUCACCAAUUAUCUCUCCUCCCAACCUUCCGAUGUUCGUAUUGUUUAUCCAAGAGUUCAUGAUCGGCGUGUGGCCGGGGGAGAAAAAGGCAUAUAGUAGUUGGUGAAAAAGGGGGUUGGAAUGUUUGUUGUAAGAAAGACAAAAACAAAAUUGUGGGUUAUUUCGAUGAUCAUCAAACACACACACACACACUCACUCACAAAAAUCAAAAGAAUCAAAGCCAAAGCGUGGUGUAUGUGCAAAAAAAGAGACAGAGAAUAUAAUAUAUAUAUAUAUAUUGUGUGUUUGUUUACUGUUUGGUUGGUGGAAGAGAAAAUGAGGGAAAGUAAAAGAAAAAAGAAAAAGAAAAAGAAAGUUUUUCUUGGGUACAUAAUUGCUGACAAAAGAAGGCAGAAGAAAGAGGGUUGGUUUUAUUGUCCUUCGAGAGGGAAAAAAGAAGAAGAAGAAGAAGAAGAGUUGAGGAGUGGUCCUAUAAGGUUGUAUGUUUGGUGAUGACAUUAAUGUUUGUAAUUUAAUGUGUUUUGCAGUCUGUAUCAUCAAACAAGCCUAACUGCUCAUAACACACACAACCUUUAUUUCUUCUUUUAUUUUGCAUUUGGGUCUGUGGAGAGGAAAAUGGGUGAAGAUAUCAAACCAUUUUUGCAUAACCAAAAGAGGCAUUUUUGAAUCUUGUAUGUAUAUUAUGCUUUGUGCAUUUGUUAUCUUCUUCUUUUUGGACAAAUUGGAGAAAUCGGUACUAAAAUAUGGUUACAGUUGUAAUGAUACCAUAAAAUACUUCAAGAAUAUAUUUUUACAAUUUGUUGUUUUGUUUAUUCUACAUGUAAGAGGGAGUUUGGCUUGAA
This is a long non-coding RNA of Cucumis sativus (cucumber), 1758 nucleotides long. RefSeq lists it as uncharacterized. Lineage: Eukaryota; Viridiplantae; Streptophyta; Magnoliopsida; Cucurbitales; Cucurbitaceae. The transcript has 2 exons. The record is from RefSeq and is a predicted model, not a curated record.